This 1276-nucleotide long non-coding RNA is filed under the name Scophthalmus maximus (turbot). RNAcentral describes it as "lncRNA (ENSSMAG00000029177.1)". Lineage: Eukaryota; Metazoa; Chordata; Actinopteri; Pleuronectiformes; Scophthalmidae. The record is from RNAcentral.
AGUUCAGUGCAGUUCGACCUCACCAGCCAGCCGCUGUUAGAGUUGGACACCACUGAAGACCCAGAUACAGAUGAGCAGCUUCCGGAGUCAUUUUCAGUAGAGCCUCUUAAUGAAACUGCAGAGGUUCCAUCUUUAAGGACCAUCAGUGCACUGAACGAAGAGCAGGAGCUCGACAGGAUCGAGACCAAGUCAAAGGGAUCCACAGGGAUGAAGAUGAUAGACGGGGACAGUGACAAAGUGUCCUCACUGAAAAUGAAUCUGACAAAAGUCAAUUCCACUUUCAAUUAUACUACGGCCCAGGAGGUAAGGAUGUCUCACAGUAAAUAAUGGCCACAUCAAAUUCGCAAGUCCACCAAACAGUUAAAAAAAACAUGUUAAGCAUGUAAGACAUUUUUCUGCAUGAGUUGAUAACUGUCAGUGAACACAGUGGGAUAUCACAGUGCCUUAUAUUACUGAUAACAUCUUUCCUUGAAACGUGGUUUCAAGUCAUUUUCUCUUUAUCUUUUUUUAGUCAUCCUCUCACAAUGCCGCAGACAUUUAAAAAGAUUUUUAAAAGAAUAGAGAAUUAAUUUCAUUAAAAAGUCAAUCUUUAAUCUGUUGGAGCAACUGCCGAUAACAAUCCUUGCUGAGGGGCAAAGAGUGCAGCCACAAACUUGCUGGAAGUCAAAGGAUUUGAGGUUGAUUUUUGGCGGCUAAAUAUUGGAGGGUAUUGGAAACUUGAAAAUAAUUGAAGUUUGAAGCCUUUUUAUUUCAAAUGUCCACAAACUCAUUAAACUGCGGAUGUCAGACGGUUUCAGGGCUAACGGAAACUGUGGUGGAGAAAGUUGUCCUCACUCAGGAGGACUCUCUGAAGAAGAAUUCAGGAAAAAAGAAGAAAAACAGGGAACGUGGGAAGGGCAAAGGAAAUAAAGGAAGACAUAAGAGGCAGAGACACCGCCUGACAAGCGAAGAGCAAGGAGAUGAAGAAGAGGAUGAGUUUUAUAACGGUGAAGAAUACGGUGAUGAAUACGAGGAAGAACUUUCCCCACAUGGUAACUUGCAGGAGAGCAGAGACGACAGAGAGGUGGAACUACUGCCCACGCACAUUCCUGCCCAGUUAGAAACAUCCUCAGACCCCUCCCGUCUUCAUCUGACUCACUUCUCAGAAAGAGAAACAGACGAACAGGCUGCGCGGACGACCACAGAUCCUCCCUAUCAACCGACGGGGGAGGUGGAGAAGGGUGAAGUGUCACUGCCCACACCUCCCAUCACAACGGAAGAACCGGACAAGGAUUAA